This 445-nucleotide long non-coding RNA is filed under the name Astyanax mexicanus (Mexican tetra). RNAcentral describes it as "lncRNA (ENSAMXG00005009366.1)". The record is from RNAcentral. Lineage: Eukaryota; Metazoa; Chordata; Actinopteri; Characiformes; Acestrorhamphidae.
GUACAGAACUUUUUUUUAUGUAUAUACAUUUGACUUUUAUUUUGAAGAUCGGCACGCUUCCGGCCAGCAGGCAUGGCUGCGGGUCUGCAGUUGAAAACAACGAAGCUAUAAUUUAAGAAGACUUUAAAGCUGCAGCAGCAGAUCCUUCAGCCUGUUCUACAGCUCGAGGAGGAACCGGGCAGGAGCGGAGGUUUUAAAGGUGGCGGGAAUGGGCUUACAUAAUUUUAGAUAUAAAUGCUGAGAUUUAAAGUUGAUCAUCUUUAGAGCAACAGAGAAGCAGAUCCAUGAGUUCAGAGCUGACCAUAACUGCAUACCACCUUGCUACCAGUCCUCUACAGCUCCUCUAUAUGUCUUCUUUUCCAAAUGAUCCAAAUCCUCUUCCUUCACCAACAUUGCUGGAGUUGUGUUCAGUGAAGAGGUGAAUUCAGGCUACUGAGAGUAGAGU